This 431-nucleotide ribosomal RNA is filed under the name uncultured bacterium. RNAcentral describes it as "bacterial SSU rRNA". It matches the Rfam family "Bacterial small subunit ribosomal RNA", at positions 355 to 776 of the family's 1533-position model. The record is from RNAcentral.
UAAGGAAUUUUGCACAAUGGGCGAAAGCCUGAUGCAGCAACGCCGCGUGAACGAUGAAGUUUUUAGGAAUGUAAAGUUCUGUCGUAUGGGAAGAGAUCUUUCGAAUGUUAAUACCAUUCGUUAAUGACGGUACCAUACAAGAAAGCACCGGCUAACUUCGUGCCAGCAGCCGCGGUAAUACGAGGGGUGCUAGCGUUGUCCGGAUUUACUGGGCGUAAAGGGUACGUAGGCGUUUUAAUAAGUUGUAUGUUAAAUAUCUUAGCUUAACUAAGAAAAUGCAUCCAAAACUGUUAAAAUAGAGUUUGAGAGAGGAACGCAGAAUUCAUGGUGGAGCGGUGACAUGCGUAGAUAUCAUGAGGAAAGUCAAAUGCGAAGGCAGCCUUCUGGCUCAAAACUGACGCUGAGGUACGAAAGCGUGGGGAGCGAACAGG